UACAUGUAAACGUACAUGUAGAGGUAAAGGUAUUUUUACUUUACCUUUACAUGUAAACGUACAUGUACAUGUAGAGGUAAAGGUAUUUUUACUUUACCUUUACAUGUAAACGUACAUGUACAUGUAGAGGUAAAGGUACUUUAACUUUACCUUUACAUGUAAACGUAC
RNAcentral lists this small nucleolar RNA (168 nucleotides) under Tetranychus urticae (two-spotted spider mite). Its description in RNAcentral is "snoRNA tetur26g02825". Lineage: Eukaryota; Metazoa; Arthropoda; Arachnida; Trombidiformes; Tetranychidae. The record is from RNAcentral.